Molecule: ribosomal RNA, 745 nt
Filed under: Sphingobacterium kitahiroshimense
Lineage: Bacteria; Pseudomonadati; Bacteroidota; Sphingobacteriia; Sphingobacteriales; Sphingobacteriaceae
Description: bacterial SSU rRNA
Rfam family: Bacterial small subunit ribosomal RNA
Source: RNAcentral
AGAGUUUGAUCCUGGCUCAGGAUGAACGCUAGCGGCAGGCCUAAUACAUGCAAGUCGGACGGGAUUCAGGGAGUAGCUUGCUACAAACUGAUGAGAGUGGCGCACGGGUGCGUAACGCGUGAGCAACCUACCCAUAUCAGGGGGAUAGCCUCUCGAAAGAGAGAUUAACACCGCAUAACAUCAUUAACCGGCAUCGGAUUAUGAUCAAAUAUUUAUAGGAUAUGGAUGGGCUCGCGUGACAUUAGCUAGUUGGAGAGGUAACGGCUCACCAAGGCUACGAUGUCUAGGGGCUCUGAGAGGAGAAUCCCCCACACUGGUACUGAGACACGGACCAGACUCCUACGGGAGGCAGCAGUAAGGAAUAUUGGUCAAUGGAGGCAACUCUGAACCAGCCAUGCCGCGUGCAGGAUGACUGCCCUAUGGGUUGUAAACUGCUUUUGUCAGGGAAUAAACCUUUCCACGUGUGGAGAGCUGAAUGUACCUGAAGAAUAAGGAUCGGCUAACUCCGUGCCAGCAGCCGCGGUAAUACGGAGGAUCCAAGCGUUAUCCGGAUUUAUUGGGUUUAAAGGGUGCGUAGGCGGUCCUAUAAGUCAGUGGUGAAAGACGGCAGCUUAACUGUCGCAGUGCCUUUGAUACUGUGGGACUUGAAUCUAUUUGAAGUGGGCGGAAUAAGACAAGUAGCGGUGAAAUGCAUAGAUAUGUCUUAGAACUCCGAUUGCGAAGGCAGCUCACUAAGUUAGUAUGA